Mesocricetus auratus (golden hamster) is the source of this 480-nucleotide long non-coding RNA. RefSeq lists it as uncharacterized. The transcript is spliced from 2 exons. The record is from RefSeq and is a predicted model, not a curated record. Lineage: Eukaryota; Metazoa; Chordata; Mammalia; Rodentia; Cricetidae.
UGCAGUGCCCGACAGGACCGCCCACUGGACACCCUGAGAGACUCAGGGCCCUUACAUGAGGCUCCUGAACCAUGAAUGCCCUUGAUGUGGGGCUCGAUGGCAGGUGACAGAGAUGGCAGAGCGAGACAUGAGCAGCAGUCUUCAGAAGCUCUCCACAAAGCUGCCUGGGAAGAGGCCCGUGCGGCCAUUCCGCUGCAGAGUCCCCUUGAACCAGCCAUCUUCAUGCUUCUUGUGCACGAAGACAAUAUCACCCUCCUUUAGCUCGAUCUCUGCUUCACUCUGUGGUGGGUAGGAGACCACCACCCGGUACCUGGGAGGACAGAAGGGACAGCAUGUGAGCCGAGAGGGGACAAAAUAGUGCAAUAGGGGUAACUAUCAAAAUACAUCAUUCUUAUGUAUGCAAAAUGAUAAUGAAGCCCAUUAUGUGGAAUUAAUAAGGCCAUUAAAAAAAGGACAUCCCCUAGGUGUCUUUUAGAGACA